UUGACCUCGGAUCAGGUAGGAAUACCCCGCUGAACUUAAGCAUAUCA
RNAcentral lists this ribosomal RNA (47 nucleotides) under Trichoderma aggressivum f. aggressivum. RNAcentral's name for it is "partial 28S ribosomal RNA". The record is from RNAcentral. Lineage: Eukaryota; Fungi; Ascomycota; Sordariomycetes; Hypocreales; Hypocreaceae.